Molecule: ribosomal RNA, 495 nt
Filed under: uncultured bacterium
Lineage: Bacteria
Description: partial 16S ribosomal RNA
Rfam family: Bacterial small subunit ribosomal RNA
Source: RNAcentral
GACGAACGCUGGCGGCGUGCCUAAUACAUGCAAGUAGAACGCUGAAGGAGGAGCUUGCUUCUCUGGAUGAGUUGCGAACGGGUGAGUAACGCGUAGGUAACCUGCCUGGUAGCGGGGGAUAACUAUUGGAAACGAUAGCUAAUACCGCAUAAGAGUAGAUGUUGCAUGACAUUUGCUUAAAAGGUUCAAUUGCAUCACUACCAGAUGGACCUGCGUUGUAUUAGCUAGGUGGUGGGGUAACGGCUCAUCAAGGCCACGAUACAUAGCCGACCUGAGAGGGUAAGCGGCAACGCUGGGACGGGGACACGGCCAAGAACCCUGCGGGAGGCAGCAGUAGGGGAUCUUUGGGAAAGGAAGGAGGUCUGACUGAGGAACGAGGGGUGAGUGAAGAAGGUUGUCGGGUCGUAAAGGUCUGUUGGAAGAGAAGAACGAAUAUGAGAGUGGAAAGUUCACACUGUGACGGUACCUGACCAGAAAGCGACGGCUAACUACGUG